UCAAGCUCUGCUUGGUGCUGGGUGACUGUGGCCCCUCGGGUCCACUCGCCUCAAAGUCAU
RNAcentral lists this ribosomal RNA (60 nucleotides) under Westerdykella purpurea. Its description in RNAcentral is "5.8S ribosomal RNA". Lineage: Eukaryota; Fungi; Ascomycota; Dothideomycetes; Pleosporales; Sporormiaceae. The record is from RNAcentral.